This 565-nucleotide ribosomal RNA is filed under the name uncultured bacterium. RNAcentral describes it as "partial 16S ribosomal RNA". It matches the Rfam family "Bacterial small subunit ribosomal RNA", at positions 355 to 914 of the family's 1533-position model. The record is from RNAcentral.
UGGGGAAUUUUGGACAAUGGGCGAAAGCCUGAUCCAGCAAUGCCGCGUGUGUGAAGAAGGCCUUCGGGUUGUAAAGCACUUUUGUCCGGAAAGAAAUCCUUGGCUCUAAUACAGUCGGGGGAUGACGGUACCGGAAGAAUAAGCACCGGCUAACUACGUGCCAGCAGCCGCGGUAAUACGUAGGGUGCAAGCGUUAAUCGGAAUUACUGGGCGUAAAGCGUGCGCAGGCGGUUUGCUAAGACCGAUGUGAAAUCCCCGGGCUCAACCUGGGAACUGCAUUGGUGACUGGCAGGCUAGAGUAUGGCAGAGGGGGGUAGAAUUCCACGUGUAGCAGUGAAAUGCGUAGAGAUGUGGAGGAAUACCGAUGGCGAAGGCAGCCCCCUGGGCCAAUACUGACGCUCAUGCACGAAAGCGUGGGGAGCAAACAGGAUUAGAUACCCUGGUAGUCCACGCCCUAAACGAUGUCAACUAGUUGUUGGGGAUUCAUUUCCUAGUAACGUAGCUAACGCGUGAAGUUGACCGCCUGGGGAGUACGGUCGCAAGAUUAAAACUCAAAGGAAUUGAC